This 73-nucleotide transfer RNA is filed under the name Camelus bactrianus (Bactrian camel). It matches the Rfam family "tRNA". Rfam says of the family: Transfer RNA (tRNA) molecules are approximately 80 nucleotides in length. Lineage: Eukaryota; Metazoa; Chordata; Mammalia; Artiodactyla; Camelidae. The record is from Rfam by way of RNAcentral. RNAcentral also lists the same sequence under 1 other name.
GAGGAUAUAGCUCAAGUAAUAGAGUGCAUGCCUAGCAUGCACAAGGUCCUGGGUUCAAUCCCCAGUACCUCCU